Molecule: ribosomal RNA, 1129 nt
Filed under: uncultured bacterium
Lineage: Bacteria
Description: bacterial SSU rRNA
Rfam family: Archaeal small subunit ribosomal RNA
Source: RNAcentral
GAUCUCGGUCGCUGGAAUGCCCCGAGAUCGAAAGCUCCGGCGCCAGAGGAUGGGUCUGCGGCCUAUCAGGCAGUAGUGGGUGUAGCGUACCUACUAGCCUACGACGGGUACGGGUUGUGAGAGCAAGAGCCCGGAGAUGGAUUCUGAGACAGGAAUCCAGGCCCUUACGGGGUGCAGCAGGCGCGAAAACUUUACAAUGCCGGCAACGGCGAUAAGGGGACCUCGAGUGCCAGGUUACAAAUCUGGCUGUCGUGAUGCCUAAAAAGCAUUGCAUAGCAAGGGCCGGGCAAGACCGGUGCCAGCCGCCGCGGUAACACCGGCGGCUCGAGUGGUAACCGUUAUUAUUGGGUCUAAAGGGUCUGUAGCCGGCCGGAUAAGUCUCUUGAGAAAUCUGGCAGCUUAACUGUCAGGCUUUCAGGAGAUACUGUCUGGCUCGAGGCCGGGAGAGGUGAGAGGUACUUCAGGGGUAGGGGUGAAAUCUUGUAAUCCUUGAAGGACCACCAGUGGCGAAGGCGUCUCACCAGAACGGACCUGACGGCAAGGGACGAAAGCUAGGGGCACGAACCGGAUUAGAUACCCGGGUAGUCCUAGCCGUAAACGAUACUCGCUAGGUGUCGGCCACGGUGCGACCGUUGUCGGUGCCGUAGGGAAGCCGUGAAGCGAGCCACCUGGGAAGUACGGCCGCAAGGCUGAAACUUAAAGGAAUUGGCGGGGGAGCACCACAACGGGUGGAGCUUGCGGUUUAAUUGGAUUCAACGCCGGAAAUCUUACCGGGACCGACAGCAAUAUGAAGGCCAGGCUGAAGACUUUGCCGGAUUAGCUGAGAGGUGGUGCAUGGCCGUCGUCAGUUCGUACUGUGAAGCAUCCUGUUAAGUCAGGCGACAAGCGAGACCCACGCCCACAGUUGCCAGCGUACUCUCUGGAGUGACGGGUACACUGUGGGGACCGCCGCUGCUAAAGCGGAGGAAGGAAUGGGCAACGGUAGGUCAGUAUGCCCCGAAUAUCCCGGGCUACACGCGAGCUACAAUGGUUGGUACAAUGGGUAUCUACCCCGAAAGGGGACGGGAAUCUCCUAAAACCAAUCUUAGUUCGGAUUGAGGGCUGCAACUCGCCCUCAUGAAGCUGGAAU